Molecule: long non-coding RNA, 2249 nt
Filed under: Homo sapiens (human)
Lineage: Eukaryota; Metazoa; Chordata; Mammalia; Primates; Hominidae
Description: HSALNT0096531
Source: RNAcentral
AAGUGGGAGCCCAUUACUAAUGGGCCCACUAUCACCGGUAGCAUGUUGGAGACCUGCAAGAGGAGGGAUGAUUGAAGGCAGGGUCCAGGGAGAUGAAGGGACUUAGUUGGGUAUACACUUAGUCCCAAGGUGGUACCAGAGGCAAACUUCCUUGACCCAGAUCUGGAGAAGGUGAGAGUUUCGGGACUUUGAUUUGUUGAAGGCAUUCACCUUUGUAACUUGGGACAAAUUACGCAGUUUGAGCCUCAACUUUCUUGUUAGCAAAAUUAAGAUUAAAAAGGUUGUUGGAGGAGCCAGGUGUGGUGAUUCAUGCCUGUAAUCCCAGCAAUUUGGGAGACAGAGGUGGGAGGAUUGCUUGAGGCCAGGGGUUCCAGCCAGUCUGGGCAAAAUAGCAGGAUCCCGACUCUACAAAAAAAUUUAAAAAUUAGCCAGAUGUGGCCAGGUGCGAUGGCUCACUCCUAUAAUCCCAACACUUUGGGAGGCCAAGGCGGGUAGAUCACGAGGUCAGGAGUUUGAGACCAGCCUGACCAACAUGGUGAAAACCUGUCCUACUAAAAAUACAAAAAUCAGCCAGGCGUGGUGGCACACGCCUGUAAUCCCAGCUACUCAGGAGGCUGAGACAGGAGAAUGGCUUGAACCCGGGAGGCGGGAGAUUGCAGUGAGCCGAGAUCAUGCCAUUGCACUCCAGCCAAGAUGACACAGUGAGACUCCAGAUUUGGUGGUGCACACGUGUGGUCUCAGCUAUUUGGAAGUGCACACGUGUGGUCUCAGCUAUUUGGAAGACUGAAGCUAGAGGAUCACAUGAGCCCAGGGGUUGGAGGCUGCAGUGAGCUAUGAUCACACCACUGCACUCCAACCUGGGUGACAGAGCAAGACCCUGUCUCAAAAAGAAAAAAAGAAAGUUGUUGGGAUGAUUAAAUGAGACAACUGUGUUAGCACUUAACAUAGCCUGGCAUAUGGAAGGCUGACAAUAAAUGGUAGCUAUUUUUAAAUGGGAAGAAAAAGGGCCGGUGUGGUCUAAGUUCUCUGCAGGAGACCUUCAGGAAGGUGGUUGGGGCCAUCUGCCCUUUGCUCUGGGGAGCAUAGAGCUCUACUCACUGCAUGCUCUAUAGGGUGGGCAUAGAGAGAGAUCACGCCAAUGGGAGCUGUCCACUCAUGGUGUUUCUUGUGGAUUUUCUUGUAGAAUGUUGGGUGGUGAAGGAGCCUGGGGAAAUAGUUAAUAGUUAAUAACCUGCUGAUUCCUCUUUCUCCCUCCCCGACCAGACCAUGAGAAACCAAAAAUAGGAACUAGGGGUUACAUCCAUGGAGCAAAGUUAACAACACCAAGACCUGCCUUCAAAUUUCAACCCCAGCCCUUAUACUGCAUAGUUUGGGAGUGGGUUGCUUUGCUUCUCUAUGCCAGUUGUAUUCGCUGUAAAAUGGGAUGCUGCCCAGAAAGGACUGAAUAAGGAAAUGAAUGGGAAACUGCCCUGGCUCCCACACAAUCAGAGAGGCCUUUUCUCUUUUGGACAUUCAUUCCUCAGUUGUCCCAAGUUGUCAGUUAUGAGACAACUAGUGGUCUCCCUGUUAACUAUUUAAUGGGACACUUGAGGCCAGGGAGUAUUUUACUGGCCUACACUCAAUUCAGAAGCCUGUUCCCUUUUAUUUUUUUUCUUUGAGACAAGGUCUUGCUCUUUCGCCCAGGCUGGAGUGCAGUGGUGUGAUCACAGCUCACUAUAGCCUUGACCUCCCGGGCUCAUGUGAUCCUCCCACCUCAAUCUCCCAAGUAGCUGGGACUACAAGUACACACCACCAUGCCUGGCUAAUUUUUUAAAUUUUUUUGUAGAGACGGGGUCUCCUGACAUUCCCCAGGCUAGUCUCAAACUCCUGGGCUCAAGUGAUCCGCCCACCUCAGCCUCCCAAAUUGCCAGGAUUACAAGCGUGAGUCACUGCACCUGGCCUCAGUUUCCUUGUUGAUCAGUGAGCCCUAGACAGGAUGAGGAGCCAGCUGUGCCUCAGGCAGGGCCUGCUCACCGGUGUGAAUAGUAGAACAAGACUUCCUCGAUCAGCGUGAAGAUGGCCAGCUCCAGGAGGAACCAGUGGAAGGAGGCCCUCACUCUGGUUGGAUUCUGGGAGAGAUGUCGGGGGACAGCCAGUAGCUCCUGACUGCCACCCAGCUCUGGGCCUGGAAACGUUGCAGAAUAAGGCCCUGGCUGCUAGGCAGGUAACUUGGGUAGCCUCCAUGGUGCUUGGAGAAGGCUGUGACUUUC